AACGAACGCUGGCGGCAUGCCUAACACAUGCAAGUCGAACGAGACCUUCGGGUCUAGUGGCGCACGGGUGCGUAACGCGUGGGAACCUGCCCUUAGGUUCGGAAUAACUCCCCGAAAGGGGUGCUAAUACCGGAUAAUGUCUUCGGACCAAAGAUUUAUCGCCUUUGGAUGGGCCCGCGUUGGAUUAGCUAGUUGGUAGGGUAAAAGCCUACCAAGGCGACGAUCCAUAGCUGGUCUGAGAGGAUGAUCAGCCACACUGGGACUGAGACACGGCCCAGACUCCUACGGGAGGGAGCAGAGGGGGAUAUUGGACUGUGGGCGAAAGCCUGAUCCAGCAAUGCCGCGUGAGUGAUGAAGGCCUUAGGGUUGUAAAGCUCUUUUACCCGGGAUGAUAAUGACGGUACCGGAAGAAUAAGCUCCGGCUAACUCCGUG
Molecule: ribosomal RNA, 433 nt
Filed under: uncultured bacterium
Lineage: Bacteria
Description: partial 16S ribosomal RNA
Rfam family: Bacterial small subunit ribosomal RNA
Source: RNAcentral